AAAACACAAACGAACGCUGGCGGCGUGCCUAACACAUGCAAGUCGAACGUGAUCCGCCCUUCGGGGUGGUGAAAGUGGCGCACGGGUGAGUAACGCGUGGAUAAUCUGCCCGAGGAUUUGGGAUAACAUCUCGAAAGGGGUGCUAAUACCGGAUAAGCCCACGAUGUCUUUGGACAUUGCGGGAAAAGGGGGGGACUUUCGGGCCUUCUGUCAUCAGAUGAGUCUGCGUACCAUUAGCUAGUUGGUGGGGUAAUGGCCUACCAAGGCGACGAUGGUUAGCUGGUCUGAGAGGAUGAUCAGCCACACUGGAACUGAGACACGGUCCAG
This 327-nucleotide ribosomal RNA is filed under the name uncultured Geobacter sp. Its description in RNAcentral is "bacterial SSU rRNA". It matches the Rfam family "Bacterial small subunit ribosomal RNA", at positions 29 to 334 of the family's 1533-position model. Lineage: Bacteria; Pseudomonadati; Thermodesulfobacteriota; Desulfuromonadia; Geobacterales; Geobacteraceae. The record is from RNAcentral.